UUUAAAGUGCAAUGUAAGUCGCUUUGGAUAAAAGCGUCUGCUAAAUGUCCUGUA
Non-coding RNA from Gasterosteus aculeatus (three-spined stickleback), 54 nucleotides. NCBI's taxonomy places the organism in Eukaryota, Metazoa, Chordata, Actinopteri, Perciformes, Gasterosteidae. The record is from Rfam.